Molecule: non-coding RNA, 2794 nt
Organism: Bemisia tabaci
Lineage: Eukaryota; Metazoa; Arthropoda; Insecta; Hemiptera; Aleyrodidae
Source: RefSeq, a predicted model, not a curated record
GCUUCUCUUCUAACCGUUCCUUCAACUCUUUAUUCCACUCUUUACGUUGCAUAGAUAAGUGUGAAUGCUUUGAUACUGUUUUACAUUCUUCCAUCUCCUUUCCAUUGUGAAAUGGAUCCGUAGCAAACCAGGGUCAGUGGCAUAACAUUUCUGCAAAAUAUCUGACAGUUGUUCUUGAAGUGAAAUUUCAUGACGCAACAUAAAAGUUCAUCGAAAAGCUUAAAAUAACACUUCUAAAGAAAAAGCUGAUUAAAUUCUGACCAACCAGAGGAACUACUAUUUCUUCAGCUGGGCCUCAGCCAAUCAGCGAAUUUGGACUCCCCGUCUGCCAACGUCAUACUAGACAGUCAAAAUAUAUCAUUUCAAAUGGUUCAAGAUUUUGGCAACUUCAAAGUCGAUUUUCUCAACUCAAGUCAAAAAAAGUCCGGAAAAAUUACUGGGAACUCAACUCUUUUAUUGGGUCAAGAGAAUUAAUUUGAAAAAUAGACGCCACUGACCAGUUGCAAUCAAAAUGGUAAACUGUGAAUCUCAAGGAUUUUGAACCUGUCUGCAACAGAAAGUUAAAAAAACUGAAGAAGGAAAGAAACUUCAAAAAAAAAUGACUAAAAAAAUCCAAGUCAUUGUUAGCUAUGUUUUUUUUUUUUUUUUUUUUGAACACUUUGUAUUUGUGGUAGAGUUGCUAAUGAUUAACUAGACUGUAGACCCCUUAAAAUUUUACUCAUCCCAGUCCAAAGCAGAUCCUCAAUCAAUGCUUUAAGAAUGUCGGCCUCCAAGGUGUAGUUGUUGUAGGGCUCGCUCUAUGAUUGGGAGGUUCUGGGUUCGAUUCCCGGCCAGGUGACGGAGUUUGAUGGUCUCAAACAACGGUCACCUGGGGCUGGCUUGAUUAGGGACGGAGGAGGAUGAGGCUAUAGGAAUGGAAAAGCAUAGGAUUACCCCUCGUGGGAUACUUGAAGCGUAAAAAAAAGAAAGAAAGAAAGAAAGAAAGAAUAUUUAUAAUGGGAUUUUCAAUACUGCAUUUCCAGUGAUAUAUUAUACUUUCCGAAAAAGCGAUCUGUUCAGGAGUUAUGAGUUGUUAAAGUUGCAGUUGUGAGUGCAAAAUGUCCCAUGUGGAAAAUUUGCAAUUUGCAAAUGUUGCAGUAUCCCAGUGUCCUUCAAAGAAUUUUUCAAAAUGCCGACUGUUAAUUGCAAUUCGGUGUUGUGAUUUCCCAAAAUUUUCCAAUGAACUACUUAACAGAGUAAGGACUAAUACACUCAGAAAUUUGUCUCCUCAAAAUUUCUCGCAGAUAAAAAAAAAUAAAUAAAUAAAAAACAAAGAAAAAAAUUGUCAAACGAGUUCAGAGUCGACAGCGGGCUAAUUUUUGCAAUCGAUCGACAAAGUCGUAGACAAAGAAGACAAAUGGGAUAUGAAGGGAUCCUAUUGGUGGAAGCGGGUGGUUGCAAAGGACAAAAGAGGUAGACUAACUAACGGCAACCCUAAAGUCAUUCUAUUCUUUACCCUCUUAGUCUAUGAGAACCACCCAUUUCAACCUAUGGGAUCGCUCCACACUCCCUGUCUUCUUUGUCUAUUGCUUAGUCUGGCAGAUUUUACAAAUUAUUAGCUUAAUUUUCUCUGAUGUUUUAUGUCUUAAAUAGAAAACCAACCAACACUGAAAUGUGAGCUUUUUUUGGUAUAUUCAUUUAUAAUCCAGGGCCAAUUCCCAAGAAGUUUUAGGGUGUUGGAUAAUUUCGUUCCUCGUUUAAAAGAAUAAAACAUCAAAGAAAAUUAGGCAAUGUGAAAUGGACGUAUUUCUGCCAAACAGAACCAUGUGCAUUAAGACAUGAGUCCUGAGACACAUGAGAAUAUAUGAAUAACAGAGCUCAUGUCAUAAUGCACAUAGUUCCAUUUUCCAUUUGGCAGAAAUACGUUCCAAUGUGGAUAGGCCAACACCUGUUGAAGUUAAAUCCACCCCAUGAAGUUUACAUUAGAAUCAGCAAACUCAAACUUCCUGCUCAUGAAAAUGAAUGUAAAUCAAAUAAAUCAUCGGAAACUAAUAUAUUGUCGGACAAAUAACGCUCCUUUUUACUCUAGAACAUUGUAUUUGUAAAUAGUGAAAAAAAUUUCAUCACUCUGAAAAACUUUGUAUUGUGAAGAACAAUGAAAUUACUUCAGUGAUUUUGACAUUAGUAAACUUCAGUUCUUUGGCGAACAGUAAGCGUUAGUUGGUGAACCUAGAAAAUGCUGAUUUUUUUACUAGUAAAACUUUGAAAUUUUUUACGUUUUCAUUGCGUUCUACAUAAAAUUUCGAAGCGGAUCAAAAAAAUUCUCUCUUUUUGCAUUAAUCUGCAAGGAGAGAUGAACAUCAGGCAAAGUGUGAGAUUUUUAUUUUCUGAGCAUUAAAAAUAUUUUUCAGGCUUUCGUUCGUUUUGUUAUGUCUUUUUUUUCCCUCUCUGUAGAAUCAACAGAAGUGCAGGCCAAAUACAUAGCACUUCCGUCACACCCGAUUACAGGCAUUUUAAACUUGCGCUACUCAGCAUAUGGUCUGAAGAUUCGAGCCUCUUUUGUCUUGGAUGUUCUUAACUUUUUUCAUUAAUCCUGUUUACGCUGCCUUUAGGAGAAAAUCGUUGUAGCCAAGACAGACUAUCAGUCUGAAUUCUUAUAGGGAUAAGCUGAAUCUUGUUUGUACCCAACAGCAAGUCAUUAACUUCCGAUCAAUUCACAAUUUAUCCCAAUCCUUGCUCUUUGGGUGCAUUUAAGCUCAGUUCCCGAUCUUUCAUUUUAAGCUGCUGUAACCAGGGUUGAAAUUUUUCAUGAAAA